This 253-nucleotide ribosomal RNA is filed under the name uncultured bacterium. RNAcentral's name for it is "partial 16S ribosomal RNA". It matches the Rfam family "Bacterial small subunit ribosomal RNA", at positions 524 to 776 of the family's 1533-position model. The record is from RNAcentral.
UACAGAGGUCGCAAGCGUUGUUCGGAUUCACUGGGCGUAAAGGGUGCGUAGGCGGCCGGGUAAGUCUGAUGUGAAAUCCCGCAGCUCAACUGCGGAACUGCAUCGGAUACUGUCCGGCUAGAGGAAUGGAGGGGAGACUGGAAUUCUCGGUGUAGCAGUGAAAUGCGUAGAUAUCGAGAGGAACACCAGUGGCGAAGGCGAGUCUCUGGACAUUUCCUAACGCUGAGGCACGAAAGCCAGGGGAGCAAACGGG